CAAGAUUUUAGCAAGAGUCUGACAUGGAAUACUAGAGAGACUUUAAGGAAGCAAUUUUAGGGAGGUGACUGAGAGAAUUAAGGGAAAUAUGGGCAGUUAGUUUAGACCCAAGGAGCCCUGUGUGUGUGGUAGGGGGUGUGAAAUCUGUCAGAUCAAACCAGUCAAAAGCAUAAAGUCAAGAGUUGUAAUUAGAAUCUGUACCUACUUUUAGAGUCUAGACCUCACCCUUGUGACCUCCCACUUGGAAUGCAAAUGAAAAGGCAAGCAAAUCUGAGGUAUUUCCUGCUAAGCAGUGAUUGUCUAUGAGCAUGAGGUCUAAGAGGGGUGCAUCUGUCGGGGAGACUCCACUGCCAUUGCAGGCCUGACAGGCCUCACUGAAUAAAGCACUCAGAGGAGCCGAUAUCAAGACCUGCAUCCUGCCAGCCUAACUGUUAGGGUGGCUUCCACAAACAGAAAGGCCCAUCAACGGAGAACAGCAACCGUACUGGCUAAAGCUGCUUCAAUCACGCUUCAGAAUCAUUCACAGAGGACUAACUAGUUUAAUACGUUUUUAUAUUUGUAACGGGAUAAUCAACUGCCAGAUACAAAAUGGAAGAGACAUGAUGCGGCAAUUCACAUGAUGCUAUUAAUAUAAGAAUAGACUGACAGAGACUGAAAAGCCCGAAGCCGAUGGAUGCAUAGAUAAGCAUCUUAUAGAGGGUAGAAAUGACAUUCCAGACAAGCAAGGCAAGUAUGGGUUGGUUAUAUUUGGUCUGAAGAACACCCCUUGGUGGGCUGUUAUAUCUGAGUCUGCUCUAACAAAUUCCCCUCAACUCAGUG
Molecule: long non-coding RNA, 819 nt
Filed under: Mus spicilegus (steppe mouse)
Lineage: Eukaryota; Metazoa; Chordata; Mammalia; Rodentia; Muridae
Description: lncRNA (ENSMSIG00000028538.1)
Source: RNAcentral